CCCCCCUAAAAGGGUUCCUACGGGGAGGCAGCAGUAGGGAAUCUUCCACAAUGGACGCAAGUCUGAUGGAGCAACGCCGCGUGAGUGAAGAAGGUCUUCGGAUCGUAAAGCUCUGUUGUUGGUGAAGAAGGAUAGAGGCAGUAACUGGUCUUUAUUUGACGGUAAUCAACCAGAAAGUCACGGCUAACUACGUGCCAGCAGCCGCGGUAAUACGUAGGUGGCAAGCGUUGUCCGGAUUUAUUGGGCGUAAAGCGAGCGCAGGCGGAAUGAUAAGUCUGAUGUGAAAGCCCACGGCUCAACCGUGGAACUGCAUCGGAAACUGUCAUUCUUGAGUGCAGAAGAGGAGAGUGGAACUCCAUGUGUAGCGGUGGAAUGCGUAGAUAUAUGGAAGAACACCAGUGGCGAAGGCGGCUCUUUGGUCUGCAACUGACGCUGAGGCUCGAAAGCAUGGGUAGCGAACAGGAUUAGAUACCCUGGUAGUCCAUGCCGUAAACGAUGAGCGCUAGGUGUUGGGGACUUUCCGGUCCUCAGUGCCGCAGCAAACGCAUUAAGCGCUCCCCCGGGGAGACAACCCCACG
RNAcentral lists this ribosomal RNA (578 nucleotides) under Lactobacillus delbrueckii subsp. lactis. RNAcentral describes it as "bacterial SSU rRNA". It matches the Rfam family "Bacterial small subunit ribosomal RNA", at positions 308 to 892 of the family's 1533-position model. Lineage: Bacteria; Bacillati; Bacillota; Bacilli; Lactobacillales; Lactobacillaceae. The record is from RNAcentral.